GAAGAUAAAUUAAGUAAAAUUUCUAAUUUUAUUAAUAUAAUUAAUAUUAUAUAUCUUUA
Molecule: transfer RNA, 59 nt
Filed under: Orthogonalys pulchella
Lineage: Eukaryota; Metazoa; Arthropoda; Insecta; Hymenoptera; Trigonalidae
Description: tRNA-Ser
Source: RNAcentral